This 275-nucleotide ribosomal RNA is filed under the name uncultured bacterium. RNAcentral's name for it is "partial 16S ribosomal RNA". It matches the Rfam family "Bacterial small subunit ribosomal RNA", at positions 79 to 353 of the family's 1533-position model. The record is from RNAcentral.
CUAAGGCUGAUGGCGACCGGCGCACGGGUGAGUAACACGUAUCCAACCUGCCCUUUACUCGGGGAUAGCCUUUCGAAAGAAAGAUUAAUACCCGAUGGCAUAAUGAUUCCGCAUGGUUUCAUUAUUAAAGGAUUCCGGUAAAGGAUGGGGAUGCGUUCCAUUAGGUUGUUGGUGAGGUAACGGCUCACCAAGCCUUCGAUGGAUAGGGGUUCUGAGAGGAAGGUCCCCCACAUUGGAACUGAGACACGGUCCAAACUCCUACGGGAGGCAGCAUG